This 269-nucleotide ribosomal RNA is filed under the name uncultured Eubacteriales bacterium. RNAcentral's name for it is "uncultured Clostridiales bacterium partial 16S ribosomal RNA". It matches the Rfam family "Bacterial small subunit ribosomal RNA", at positions 71 to 339 of the family's 1533-position model. Lineage: Bacteria; Bacillati; Bacillota; Clostridia; Eubacteriales. The record is from RNAcentral.
UUAAGCUCUUCGGAACUUGACUUAGUGGCGAACGGGUGAGUAACGCGUGAGGAACCUGCCUUUCAGUGGGGGACAACAGUUGGAAACGACUGCUAAUACCGCAUGACACUUUUGGGAGACAUCUCCUGGAAGUCAAAGCUUUAUGUGCUGAAAGAUGGCCUCGCGUCUGAUUAGCUAGUUGGUGAGGUAACGGCUCACCAAGGCGACGAUCAGUAGCCGGUCUGAGAGGAUGAACGGCCACAUUGGGACUGAGAUACGGCCCAGACUCC